Aquila chrysaetos chrysaetos is the source of this 3415-nucleotide long non-coding RNA. RefSeq lists it as uncharacterized. Lineage: Eukaryota; Metazoa; Chordata; Aves; Accipitriformes; Accipitridae. The transcript has 3 exons. The record is from RefSeq and is a predicted model, not a curated record.
CAGAGCUGAGGACCAGGACCAGGGCUGCAUCCUCUCUGCCCUGCAGCCGCGCCGGCACCAGCGCCGGUGUUUGCCUGGUGCUUUGGGAUCCUUGACGCAGGGAGCAGCAGGUACCCAGCAUGUUGGGUUUGUAAAUAAGAAUUUUGUGGGAUUUAUGGUCCCCUGAGCCUGCGUGUGUGUAUUCAGCUCCUGCACUGGGUGGAAAGCUCUGCUGGGGGAAAGCACAGUUAUUUCCAUCCCAGGCAUUCCUGGAGGCCCCAGGAAGGAUGCGACCUGGUGCAGGCUCCUUUGCAUUUUACCCCUUUGCUUUUUCCCCUAUUGCAUUUUCUCCCUUUGCAUUUCUUCCCCUUGCAAGCCCAGUAUCAAAGUAGGCAAGCCCGGAAAGGGGAGCUGGUGCAGAGCUGUGUGCCUGGGCUGUAUUCAGGUAGGGAUAUGGCACUAGGAGUCAAAAUGAGUUUCCUGGGUCCUCUGGGCUGGUCCUGCUGAGCAGGGAGCUGGUUCCCCACUGGAGCCAGCUCCUGGCUCUGUCCCAGUUCCCAGUGAAGCCCUAGAGACCCCCACAGCUCAGCUCAUUGGAGAUGAGUUGCUCCGGCAGAAACUUGUUGCAUUUUGGGGACCUUUUCCUGAGGUUUUCUCAUCCUAGGAGCUUGUGAGCUCUGGUCCCACCUCACCACCCCAUGCAACGAGUUGCUGGGCAGGUUUAUGGGGGAGAAAUCUCAGCCUGCCCCUCAACCUCAUCCACUUUCCUACCUCCUCCCUCCAUUUCCCACCUGAGUGCAGCCAAAACGCAGCCCCUGAGCAAGAGAAAGGGCAACAGGGUGGAUUUGCACAUCUGGCAGCCACAUCUGGCAGAGCACACCAUGCCGGGAGCGAACGCUGCUGAGCAUCGUGGGGCGUCCCGGGCUGUGACUCCACUGGAGCAGCAUCAAUUCGUGGGUACAGUGCUGGGAAGUCCUGGUGAGAUUUAACAUCUUGCAGCGAGGAGGAGAAGUGCCUGGAGGGCUUUGCAGGCAGAUGGGUGGUUGUUGGACCAGGGAACGCAGCAUCCGCCUGGCAGCGGCUGCCGGUGCCUGGUGAUAGAUGAUAGGAAGGAAAUUGCCUCCAAGCAGACAGAAAAGUGGCCAAACACAUCCUGGCCCCGAAGCCCUUUGGCAAAGGGGAUGGCUGGCGUGGGCAGCCGGUUGCUCCAGCUUUCCCUGAGGCCAAAGGGAGGGAUGCAGUGGCUUUUGGUCCCCAGGGACGAGGACACUCCUCCUUUCAACACUGAGCAGCAGGAGGUUCGGAGCAUCACUUUCCCCAUCCUCACUGGGUGCACCGAGAUCCCGGGCUGCGUGCUCCAACUCCCUCUGGGGAGGCAAAGCCCCGUCAGCCCAGCAAAGGUGACGUGCGAGCAGUCAGAUGUGGGUGGUUGGGUAGAUAACCAGCUGUAGGAGCAUAAUUCUUGUGGCUUGUUAACGUUUAUAUUAUUCUGCAUGGCGCAUACCCCACGCAUGACAAAUCAGCAGGAUUAGGGAACCUCUGGAUUAGCAAAACCAAGACUUGUCACCAAGCCGAGACUCAAAAUGUGCUUUUUGGGUUCCCAAAGACAGCUGUGCGUUUAGAGAAACCCAGCUGCCAUCACAUUUCUGUGCAGUCCCUCUCCAUGAAGGGCUCGGCGAGGACGAUGCGAACUUCCCAGCACCCCGAGACUUUGGCAGCAAGCUGCCACCCAAAUGGAAAGUUACCCUGACAGCUCCUUGAGCCGAAUGAAAUGCAGGAUAUAAACAGCACCUGUGGUGUGAAUCAAGAAAAGGAUGCUCAGAGCCCUCUGCAGUGGCUCAUCACAGAAAAAGAGGGGAAAAACCCAAAAAUGUCUAUUUAUAUGCCCUGCAUAUGAAAUGCUUAUAAGCUGCCAGUGCUUUCCAACCCGGCAUGGUCUUUCAGAUCUGUUUUUCCUUCCUUAUAUCCCAAAGAGCUCCGCUGUUUCUGGGGCCGAUCCGGCCAAGAGGCAAGCAGUGAGAUUUAGCCGAGGAGGUGGAUGUGGGUGCAGACGGAGUUGGGCCAGGCAACGCUGCCUGCCCUGCCUGCAUCCAUCCUCCCCUGCACACGUCCUUGUGGGUUUGUGCUCGUGUUGCUGGACCAGGGCAUCCCAGGUGUGCUUUAAGAAGCAUUUUUCCUCAAAGUUUGGUGGAAGUUUGUCAGGAUUUGUCAAGUGGAAAUAACUGGGCUGGAGCACCAUCCUCAUCCCUGCUGACCGCAGGGGCUGCGACACCCCGGCACUUGGGCAGGGAAGAAAGUCAGCCACUGGCUGCCUCCCCCUUCCAAAAAUACACAGAAUUAAUAACAAGUAAUUCUGCCCAAGUGUCUUCAACCCUGUGAAGCUUCACCCCAGGCUCCUUCAUCCUCCUCCUCUGUUAGCAGGGAUUAACCCAAACCACCUUUGGAGGAAGGAAGAAACCCUCUGCUUUUCAUUUAUUCCUUUAGGAAGAGCAAGUGGGAGCUGUCAUCCUCGUGCAUUGGGGAAACUGAGGCACAAAGCAAGCAGGGCUAAGUUUCUGAUAGCAGGAAAGGAUUUGAGAGAAAAAAAACACAGAAAUGGAUUUAAAGCCUUGGCGGGGUUCACUUAAAACUCUGGGCAGUUUUGGGACCUCCAAGCCUGGGACAGUGGCCGCUCUAUUUGUCCUUCCUCUGGCUCAGAGGUGACCCCUGCACCUUGCCAAAAAAGUCACGAUUAAAUAGGAUCCCACCUAUUUAUCUGUGAGUGCUUCUCAUUAGCUGUGUUGGGAUAAUACUGGGGGACGGGGGCUCCCGGUGUGGCUGAGCACUGACCCACUCAGGGCAGUGAUGAGCCCUCAGUGGCAGGCAGGGGGCUGGAGGAGACCUGUCCUGGGGGAGAGGGGCUGGGGGGACGCAGCCAGGGUACAGGGUGGCAGGUCAAAGCCCCCAGCAUGAACAGCGGUGUGACCCCCCCCGGGGUGGCAGGGACAGGCAGGAGAGGGACAGGCAGGGCUUGUAUGGGCUGGGACAGACAGAGGUAGGCAGGGCAAGGAACGCUGAGGCAGGGACGGACAGGCACAGGAUGGGCAAGGGACGGGCAGAUCCGGGACCCGGAGAGGCAGGGAUGGGCAGGCAGGGCACCUAGGACUGAUCAGAGCUGGGAUGGAGGGGAGGUAGUUCCCCAGACCCCCAAAAGGGUCUGAACCCCAGUAGCUCGGGCUGCAGCCCCACGACCUCAUGCCCUCCCUGCCACCAGGUCCCCAGCAUGGAGCCACCUCGUCCUCCUUCUCGGGGUGGUUUUCACCUCAUCGCGUGUCUUCAGCCCUGCAGGGAGUUGGCACCGCACAGCCCGGGCAGAUGGGGAAGGACAUGUUUCCACUAAUCUGCCCCAAUCUGGAUUAUUAUUUUUUUUUUUCAAAAUAAACCUGCUUUCCCAGCU